CAAAAACAUCGCCUCUUGCUCCCCUAAUAUAAGAGGUCCCGCCUGCCCCCUGACUAUACGUUUAAUGGCCACGGUAUCCUAACCGUGCAAAGGUAGCGCAAUCAUUUGUCUUCUAAUUAAAGACCUGUAUGAACGGCAUAACGAGAGCUUACCUGUCUCCUCUUUAAAGUCAAUAAAAUUGAUCUCCCCGUGCAGAAGCGAGGAUAUAUACAUAAGACGAGAAGACCCUGUGGAGCUUUAGGCACUAAAAUAUGUGUACAUUACACAAUUACACCCUUAUUUCAAUGCCUUCGGUUGGGGCGACCAAGGAGAAUUAAUCAACCCCCACGUGGAACAGAAGUACUCCUUCUCAAACCAAGAGUUACAACUCUAAUUAAUAGAAUUUCUAACCAUUCAACAUAAGACCCGGCAACGCCGAUCUACGAACCAAGUUACCCCAGGGAUAACAGCGCAAUCCCCUUUAAGAGCCCAUAUCGACAAGGGGGUUUACGACCUCGAUGUUGGAUCAGGACACCCCAAUGGUGCAUCCGUUAUUAAAGGUUCGUUUGUUCAACGAUUAAAGUCCUACGUGAUC
RNAcentral lists this ribosomal RNA (574 nucleotides) under Synbranchus marmoratus (marbled swamp eel). RNAcentral's name for it is "partial 16S large subunit ribosomal RNA". It matches the Rfam family "Bacterial large subunit ribosomal RNA", at positions 1808 to 2605 of the family's 2925-position model. The record is from RNAcentral. Lineage: Eukaryota; Metazoa; Chordata; Actinopteri; Synbranchiformes; Synbranchidae.